UACAGAGGGUGCAAGCGUUGUUCGGAAUCAUUGGGCGUAAAGCGCACGUAGGCGGUUCGUUAUGUCGGAUGUGAAAGCCCUUGGCUUAACCGAGGAAGUGCAUCCGAAACUGGCGAGCUAGAGUACGAAAGAGGAUCGCGGAAUCCCGGUGUAGAGGUGAAAUUCGUAGAUAGUCGGGAGGAACACCGGUGGCGAAGGCGGCGAUCUGGGUCGAUACUGACGCUGAGGUGCGAAAGCGUGGGGAGCAACAG
This 251-nucleotide ribosomal RNA is filed under the name uncultured bacterium. Its description in RNAcentral is "partial 16S ribosomal RNA". It matches the Rfam family "Bacterial small subunit ribosomal RNA", at positions 524 to 774 of the family's 1533-position model. The record is from RNAcentral.